This 257-nucleotide ribosomal RNA is filed under the name uncultured bacterium. Its description in RNAcentral is "partial 16S ribosomal RNA". It matches the Rfam family "Bacterial small subunit ribosomal RNA", at positions 524 to 777 of the family's 1533-position model. The record is from RNAcentral.
UACGGAGGGUGCAAGCGUUAUCCGGAUUUACUGGGUUUAAAGGGUGCGUAGGUGGGUCUGUAAGUCAGUGGUGAAAUCUCCGAGCUUAACUCGGAAACUGCCAUUGAUACUAUAGAUCUUGAAUUAUCUGGAGGUGAGCGGAAUAUGUCAUGUAGCGGUGAAAUGCUUAGAUAUGACAUAGAACACCAAAUUGCGAAGGCAGCUCACUACGGAUUGAUUGACACUGAGGCACGAAAAGCGUGGGGGAUCAAACAGGA